GCCGUUACUGCGCUACCCUCUAAGACCUACUAACAUAGUCAACUUGUUGUUGCGAGAUGGGUGGGACCAGAGCUAGAGAGGCGCUGGAGAGACUUCAGGCUGUUGUUGUGCAGACUUUCUUGAGCGUCUCUAGCGCACUGUAUGCGGACAAUUGUAAGAGGAUUUACGAGUGGAUAUUCAGCUGAGACGCAGUUUGGAACAGGCUGACAAGUUUGUAGACUGUGUAAUAGGCUGACUAGUUUGUAGAAUGUGUAAUAGGCUGACUAGUUUGUAGACUGUGUAAUAGGCUGACUAGUUUGUAGAAUGUGUAAUUUCCUGUUAGUCGUGUGAUUUUUAUUAUUUAUUUCCUUGACUUUUUCUUGUUUGUUUUCAACCUGUCGCGUAUUUUUAUGUAUUUAUGACGUGUGAUUAUUUGCAUUUAUUUUCUACACAUUUUGGGGUUUGAGUUGUUUUCUUUAAAGUGUAAAUGUCUCUGUCUGUGACCAAACUAACUACGUAUUUAUAUGUUGGUGUGAGAUUUUGUAAAAUCUCCCAACCUCUGAUACCGUGUCGGACGAAUAAACCGACCUUAUCAACAAACUCUCACUGCAGAAUUAGACGUAUAUCCACGUUUCUCCCUGCUACUUUGGGGAGGGAAAAAAACCUGGAUUCCAAAAUUGUUCCCUUGUGUAAAGACGCUCCUUUACAUCCGAGCAGCAGCAAGGGUCCCAAGACCCCUACAGCAGCCUCCAGACCCUCCGUGGGCACCCGGGUCCAGAGGGAGAGAAAGAAGGCGACCCGCUCCAAGACACCGGAAGGAGCGCCAGUCCUGCAGCUUCUGCAAACACAACGGGCAAAACUCAACGUUUCUCCCUGCUACUUCGGGGAGGAAAAAACGGAAGUGUUGUCUUGUUUUGAGACUUGUUUUCCUGACUUUAAAACGACAUGCUCUAAUCUAACUGUACAUCUGCAGGUCUACAGGCCUAAAAUAACCAUUAUAAGAACAUUGCUAUUGACAUCAAGACAACUUCUGUUUUAUGACGUGGUGUGCAGAGCUACUUUUGUGUCAUUGUAAUUUGCCGUGCUAGCUACUAUUUUAGUGUUAUACUUGUUUUUUAAAGAUCUAGAGGUGUGGCUUUUUGUUUGUUUUUG
RNAcentral lists this long non-coding RNA (1131 nucleotides) under Oncorhynchus kisutch (coho salmon). RNAcentral describes it as "lncRNA (ENSOKIG00005049230.1)". The record is from RNAcentral. Lineage: Eukaryota; Metazoa; Chordata; Actinopteri; Salmoniformes; Salmonidae.